GGGGACAUAGUUUAGUUGGUAGAGUGCUUGGCUAUUAUGCAGGAGACACUGGGUCCAAUUCCUAGUAUCUCAA
This 73-nucleotide transfer RNA is filed under the name Cricetulus griseus (Chinese hamster). It matches the Rfam family "tRNA". Rfam says of the family: Transfer RNA (tRNA) molecules are approximately 80 nucleotides in length. Their secondary structure includes four short double-helical elements and three loops (D, anti-codon, and T loops). Further hydrogen bonds mediate the characteristic L-shaped molecular structure. tRNAs have two regions of fundamental functional importance: the anti-codon, which is responsible for specific mRNA codon recognition, and the 3' end, to which the tRNAs corresponding amino acid is attached (by aminoacyl-tRNA synthetases). tRNAs cope with the degeneracy of the genetic code in two manners: having more than one tRNA (with a specific anti-codon) for a particular amino acid; and 'wobble' base-pairing, i.e. permitting non-standard base-pairing at the 3rd anti-codon position. Lineage: Eukaryota; Metazoa; Chordata; Mammalia; Rodentia; Cricetidae. The record is from Rfam by way of RNAcentral.